This 489-nucleotide ribosomal RNA is filed under the name uncultured bacterium. RNAcentral describes it as "bacterial SSU rRNA". It matches the Rfam family "Bacterial small subunit ribosomal RNA", at positions 501 to 989 of the family's 1533-position model. The record is from RNAcentral.
CUACGUGCCAGCAGCCGCGGUAAUACGUAGGUGGCAAGCGUUGUCCGGAAUUAUUGGGCGUAAAGCGCGCGCAGGCGGAUAGGUCAGUCUGUCUUAAAAGUUCGGGGCUUAACCCCGUGAUGGGAUGGAAACUGCUGAUCUAGAGUAUCGGAGAGGAAAGUGGAAUUCCUAGUGUAGCGGUGAAAUGCGUAGAUAUUAGGAAGAACACCAGUGGCGAAGGCGACUUUCUGGACGAAAACUGACGCUGAGGCGCGAAAGCCAGGGGAGCGAACGGGAUUAGAUACCCUGGUAGUCCACGCUGUAAACGUUGGGCACUAGGUGUGGGGGCCACCCGUGGUUUCUGCGCCGUAGCUAACGCUUUAAGUGCCCCGCCUGGGGAGUACGGCCGCAAGGCUAAAACUCAAAGGAAUUGACGGGGGCCCGCACAAGCGGCGGAGCAUGCGGAUUAAUUCGAUGCAACGCGAAGAACCUUACCAAGGCUUGACAUGC